UCCAUCUCAACUCUGGGGGUUCUGGGGGCGUCUCUUGGUUCUUUGUGGAAACUCUUUUGGAGAUGGCUGCGUGUUUGCUCCAAAACAUCUACUAAAGUGUGAAUGUCUAGGGAAUGGAAGGACAGCCUAACAGGAGCCACAGCCAUUUGCUGUGCACUGAGCGCACGUUGAGUUUCCCUAGCAAGAGUGGUUGAGAGCAAAACAAAAGUGAAACCAACAGUUGUGUUAUGGAUUUGGGUUAGGCCUAUAUCACAUUCUGAACAACACACACUGAACGAAGGAAUAACAGCCGUCCUGGGUACAUUGAACCGUUAAAGAUGGUUAAGGUAUUUUUCAAAGGCACUGGAUUUUCCGAGAGGUAUCUUGAAGAGAUCAAAGCUGAUCUCCAUAGACGACUUUGUGUGACUGAAGUCGGAGAGGAAGUGGAUUGUGAUGUCAUCGUGGUCCUCUGUCCCAUCGUCUCUCGAGCUGGAACUGAUGUUGAGGCUGCACUGAGUUCGAUUCCAAUCUCAAAGCCUACACUUCUUAUGGUGCUUCAUCGCACAUUCGACAAGGACGAAAUAUUACCCAACACCCAGAAGUAUGUCGAAGGGAGAGGAAGGACCCUAGACCUGCUUUUCAAUGAGGAAGAAGGUCUACUUUCUUGCAGUAGAAAUGAGAACUCCAAGGAAAUGGCUGCAGUUUUCCUCAGCGAAUUUGAAACACCUAACCGUGGAUGUAGGGCAAUCUGUUUAAAUUUCAUCCGUUCGCCUAAAGGCAAGGUUGUGGCCGUUUCAGUGUUGAUUUCAUCGGCCAUUUUAAUCAUUGUUUGUGUUUUGGCAAAAUCAGGAACAUUUCAGGAACCCUAAUAUUCCGGUUAGAUAACUCAUUCAAUAUCAAUCUAAGCAAUUCACAUAGGCAACUGAAAUCUGAUCUGAACCCUAAACCUUUAGGAACUUAAUAUGAAAAUUGGGCUUCAGUCUUAAAUACCAGAAGUGUUUUGUUAAGCACUAACAUGUUUUAUUUGAAAACAUUAAAAAGAUGAAUAUCAAUCAG
This is a long non-coding RNA of Clupea harengus (Atlantic herring), 1035 nucleotides long. RefSeq lists it as uncharacterized. The record is from RefSeq and is a predicted model, not a curated record. The transcript is spliced from 3 exons. Lineage: Eukaryota; Metazoa; Chordata; Actinopteri; Clupeiformes; Clupeidae.